GUCAUCGGUGGACUGCUGGUCCUGGCGCUGCUGUUGCCGGGCGGUGUGGCCACGGUGUCGACCGGUUCGGCCCCGGCGAGCGCG
This 84-nucleotide transfer RNA is filed under the name Nocardia farcinica. RNAcentral's name for it is "tRNA-Ser(gct)". Lineage: Bacteria; Bacillati; Actinomycetota; Actinomycetes; Mycobacteriales; Nocardiaceae. The record is from RNAcentral.